UGUUGGUCUUUACUUGAAUUGAUAAAUCGUUUAGAUCCGUGUUGUUUUUUUAGCUAAGUUUUGAUUUUACAUGUAGAUUAAAGUGCGAAAUUUUUUAA
This 98-nucleotide ribosomal RNA is filed under the name Pollicipes pollicipes. Its description in RNAcentral is "partial 12S ribosomal RNA". The record is from RNAcentral. Lineage: Eukaryota; Metazoa; Arthropoda; Thecostraca; Pollicipedomorpha; Pollicipedidae.